GCAGGGAGGAUAAAGGAUCAC
This 21-nucleotide microRNA is filed under the name Scyliorhinus torazame (cloudy catshark). RNAcentral's name for it is "Sto-Mir-204-P1_3p* (star (passenger))". Lineage: Eukaryota; Metazoa; Chordata; Chondrichthyes; Carcharhiniformes; Scyliorhinidae. The record is from RNAcentral.